AACCUGGUUGAUCCUGCCAGUAGUCAUAUGCUUGUCUAAAAGAUUAAGCCAUGCAAGUCUAAGUAUAAGUAACUUAUACUGCGAAACUGCGCAUAGCUCAUUAUAUCAGUUAUAGUUUAUUUGAUGGUACCCUUACUACAUGGAUAACCGUAGUAAUUCUAGAGCUAAUACAUGCCCGGAAACUGCGACUCCUCGGGGAAGCAGCGGACUUAUUAGAUUAAAAGCCAAUCCGACUUGUCGGUCCUUGGUGAAUCAUAAUAAUUUCACGAAUCGCAUGGUCGCAAGACUGGCGAUGGGUCAUUGAAGUUUCUGCUCUAUCAGCUGUGAUGUUAGUAUAUUGGACUAAGAUGCCUAAAACGGGUGACGGAGGAUUAGGGUUUGAUUCCGGAGAGGGAGCCCGAGAAAUGGCUACCACUUCCAAGGAAGGCAGCAGGCGCGUGAAUUACCCGAUCCUGACACAGGGAGGUAGUGACAAGAAAUAACAAUACCGGACAUUUAAUGUUUGGUAAUUGGAAUGAGUACAACGUAAAACCCUUAACGAGGAACAAUUGGAGGGCAAGUCUGGUGCCAGCAGCCGCGGUAAUUCCAGCUCCAAUAGCGUAUAUUAACUUUGUUGCAGUUAAAAGGCUCGUAGUCGAACAUCUGGCUGGUUAGUCUGGCCCAUCUCUUUGAGGUGCGCGCCGGACUGGCUGGUCAUCCUUCUGGAGAGCUCUUCUGCCCUUCACUGGGUUGGGGGAGGGAUCCAGAUCCUUUACUUGAGAAAAUCAAAGUGUUCAAAGCAGGCUUUAAUGCUUGUAUGGUUCAGCAUGGAAUAAUAAGAUAAGACUUCGGUUUUGUUUUGUUGGCUAGACGAACCAAAGUAAUGAUUGAAAGGGAUAGUUGGGGGUGCUAGUAUUUAAUGGUCAGCGGUGAAAUGCGAGGACCCAUUGAAGACUAACUUAUGCGAAAGCAUUCACCAAGGAUAUCUUCUUUGAUCAAGAACGAAAGUUGGGGGAUCGAAGACGAUCAGAUACCGUCGUAGUCUCAACCAUAAACUAUGCCAACUGAGGAUUGGCAGAUGUUGUCCAUUUGACCCUGUCAGAACUCUAUGAGAAAUCAAAGUCUCUGGGUUCUGGGGGGAGUAUGGUCGCAAGGCUGAAACUUAAAGGAAUUGACGGAAGGGCACCACCAGGAGUGGAGCCUGCGGCUUAAUUUGACCCAACACGGGAAAACUUACCAGGUCCAGACAUAGUAAGGAUUGACAGAUUGAAGAUCUUUCUUGAUUCUAUGGAUAGUGGUGCAUGGCCGUUCUUAGUUGGUGGAGUGAUUUGUCUGGUUAAUUCCGUUAACGAACGAGACCUCAGCCUACUAAUUAGUUUCGUGCUAUCGUUUGAUAGUGCAGACUUCUUAGAGGGACUAUCGGAUAAUCAGCCGAUGGAAGUAUGAGGCAAUAACAGGUCUGUCCUUAGAUGUUCUGGGCCGCACGCGCGCUACACUGAUACGAGCAACAAGUUGUCUCCUCGGCCGAAAGGCCUGGGUAACCUUGUGAAAUCGUAUCGUGAUAGGGCUUGACGAUUGUAAUUAUUUGUCACAAACGAGGAAUUCCUAGUAAGCGCAAGUCAUCAACUUGCACUGAUUACGUCCCUGCCCUUUGUACACACCGCCCGUCGCUCCUACCGAUUGAAUGUUCCGGUGAACACUUUGGACUCGUGAUUCUGUGUGGAGCAAUCUAUGCAGAGUCAAUGGGGAAGUUGUGUAAACCUUAACAUCUAGAGGAAGGAGAAGUCGUAACAAGGUUUCCGUAGGUGAACCUGCAGAAGGAUCA
RNAcentral lists this ribosomal RNA (1804 nucleotides) under uncultured eukaryote. RNAcentral describes it as "partial small subunit ribosomal RNA". It matches the Rfam family "Eukaryotic small subunit ribosomal RNA". The record is from RNAcentral.